UAUUGAAAAUCUGGCCGAGAGCCAGAAGAGAGCACAAAAGGGCAAUGCCCGACAAGGAAGAAGCGACGAAGGUGGCUGUAUGCACUUGCAUACUUGGUUCUAAAAAGAUAAAAUAAUUAAUAUGAAUAUGAAAAACAGUCU
This is a non-coding RNA of Caenorhabditis elegans, 141 nucleotides long. The record is from Ensembl. NCBI's taxonomy places the organism in Eukaryota, Metazoa, Nematoda, Chromadorea, Rhabditida, Rhabditidae.